CUUGGCCCCAUUUGACUUGGGCUGGAGCUAACCCAGAAACACUGCAGCUCUCAAUGAACCAGGUCAAUGUCAGAACGGCAAUUAACCAAACAUGAACAGACUCUGAUUAACCCGAUAAGAAGCACAAGUUGGCAGCAAUAGUAUACUAGGCACAAUGGAGAGGAAGAAUCGCUGAAAU
Long non-coding RNA from Scomber scombrus (Atlantic mackerel), 178 nucleotides. RefSeq lists it as uncharacterized. The record is from RefSeq and is a predicted model, not a curated record. The transcript has 3 exons. Lineage: Eukaryota; Metazoa; Chordata; Actinopteri; Scombriformes; Scombridae.